This 263-nucleotide unclassified non-coding RNA is filed under the name plant metagenome. Its description in RNAcentral is "partial contains small subunit ribosomal RNA, internal transcribed spacer 1, and 5.8S ribosomal RNA". The record is from RNAcentral.
UUUCCGUAGGUGAACCUGCGGAAGGAUCAUUAUUGAAUAACCGAGGUGCGAGGGCUGUCGCUGACCCGUAACGUCGUGCCCCCCUGUGUGCCCUCACACACAUCCAUCUCACCCCUAUGUGCACCACCGCGUGGGUCCCCCUUUGGCUUGUUCGGAGGGGGGCUUACGUUUUCACACAAACUUUGUAUGCACUGUAGAAUGUAUUUUUUGUUUUUGCGAACAAGCAAUAAAUACAACUUUCAACAACGGAUCUCUUGGCUCUC